Molecule: long non-coding RNA, 918 nt
Filed under: Homo sapiens (human)
Lineage: Eukaryota; Metazoa; Chordata; Mammalia; Primates; Hominidae
Description: non-protein coding lnc-VRK2-3:3
Source: RNAcentral
CCCUUGAGCCAGUAUUAGUCUCAGAAAUAUCCAUGACAAUUUUGUUUGCACUAGUAAGAAAUUGAAAAUAGCCUAAACAGCAAAAGGAGAGUUGAAUAAAUAAAUUUCACUGUGGAAUUAGAAAAUGAAAUACUAUGUUGUUAAUAACGAAGGUGUUGUAGAAAACUAACAUCAUGGUAACAUUGGUACUAUAUUUUCAAGAGAGAUAAAGCAGAUUGUUAGGUAAUGAGUAGUUUGUGAACCAAUAAUGCAAAGAGAUUCUAUUUUGCCUCCCCAACCCCACAGCUCAGGUUUUUCUUCUCCUUUGGGCAACUGCUUAAAUUCAGAGGCAGCUACCAAAAGGAAACGUCUCUCUACCCCCUACUGUUUCUUCUGUGCAAAAGAAUGUAAAAUAUGAGGCUUCUCUUUCGCAUGUAGGCCUGAGAAGUUUUGACAAGAAUGUGUAUGCAGGGAGAAAUGACUGGUGAAAGAAUUUAGAAAGAAUGUAUGGGGACAAAAAGGAAUCACAUGAGCUGAUUUAAAUUCUUCUUGUGACAAGGGGAGAAAACAGAAGAAAAGUUGCAACAGAGUGAAAAAUCAGGAAAACCUCAUCGAGAUAGAUAUUCUGCCAGAGACAAAACGAAACCUCAUCGAGAUAGAUAUUCUGCCAGAGAAAAAUGAGACAUCAGAUAUGUGUGAUCACAGGUCAUAGACUCAGUGAAGGUGCCACUGUCACAAUGCUCUCAUGCCAAACCUUGACUGCAAAGCUGAGAUGUUAAUAUGGAACACCUGAGAGGGCUGGCACUUCAGCGUCCUUAUUCCUCCAGAACCACACCACAAAAGUCACCUUCUCCCCAGACAGAUUCUCUACAAAAUGCCUUGCAGCCGAGGUGUGGUGGAAAGAAUAUUGUAUUUGGAAUAAAAAAUUUUUGAUUUUGC